Long non-coding RNA from Panicum hallii, 1949 nucleotides. RefSeq lists it as uncharacterized. The record is from RefSeq and is a predicted model, not a curated record. Lineage: Eukaryota; Viridiplantae; Streptophyta; Magnoliopsida; Poales; Poaceae. The transcript is spliced from 2 exons.
UGGAACCAAUCCUCGUGCCAUCUCGCGAGACGCGGAGGAGGAGCGCACGCGGCUGUGGCGGCUACUCGGCUUGCGGCGGCCGCGCGAACAUCACUGGCGGCGCGACCCGGAGGUGACGACCUCGAGCCUGCGCGAGGACCUCUCCACCGGCGGCUGCCUACUCCGGUGGCAACCUUCUCGCCGGUUCUUGAUUUGCUGGUACUCGGCGGCUCCGCUUGAGGCGUCCGCGGCUGCGGCCGAGAUGGCGCUGGCGGAGAGGCUGCGCACGUCGGCCGUGGUGCUGGAUGGGUAGGCCGUGGAGUUGCAGGUGCUCGUGUCGUCGCGUGGCAUCGCAGAUUCCCCUCCUCCGGUUGGCGGCAUCCUGCUGAUUGGCGCGGCCGCGCGACGAGUGCUCGUAGCCUACCCCCUCGCCUAGGUUCCGCCCGCUUGGCGAGGAACCCGAACCGUUGUUUGUGAUUUAAUCAUGUCCGGUGUGCUGCUGAUUAUGCACGUCUUAUGCUGGUGUCACUGUGUCACUUGUUAGUGUUAGUAGCAGCGACUGUUGAUCUGGUGGCUAUUUCUUGCUCUUUUUUGAGUCAUCAGGCCUUUGUGCUUGUAAUUUGGCUGCAGGGAGAUUCCAAACUUUGCCAUGUCACCAUGUCUAUAGACUACUAGUAGUUCUCUGUUCAACGUAGUAUCAACUGAGAUCUUGCUCUAAAACUUAGCAACCCCUAAACAUGAAGUGGCAAUACUCUGCCCAUGUCAUUGAAAGAGCUGCUGUAUACAGUUACGUUGCUAGUCAUUUUGGUUGACCACAGAUGACUAAUGUGUACGUUGUUAAUUACUUGUACUGAACUGAUUAUGGCAUUUCCUCUCUUGCUUAGUCCCAUUUGACCUGCAGCUUGCUUCAGAACUGGUGUCAAAUGGUUAGUGAUAUGGCUUCCGAAAUUAGAAAUGGGUGUUCAUAUCAACUAUGUGAGUAGGCUUCAUAAUUCAUUUAUACUUUUCCUCAGUCAGUUCACAGAGUCUAUUUAUGCAUUAGCAGUCAUUUCCUUUUUUGGAGAUGAAUAAAUUAUUUAGUUUCACUCUGUUCAGUCGGCAUUAGACCAUUUGUUGGUUCAGUUGCCUGUUAGUUCAGUAUGUCAAACCUUUUAGUUCAGUAUGCAGAUGCAUUGACAGUGUUUACCUAUGUCUCUCUCUGUUAAUUGGGGAUGAGACCAUUUGUGCACUUGGGAAGAAGUGGAGGUUAAGAUAGGGAUGUCCUGUCUCUUGUCAGUAUAUAUUCCAGCAUAGAGUACUAGAAUCUUGGCAUUGGUUCAUGGAAAGCCAUGAAGAUAUCUGGCCAUUACUUGAUUAUUGAACAAUGCAUUUUAAUUUCUUGUGCACCUGUAUGUCUCUAACUUAACAUCUCUUUGCUGAAUUAUAUGUUCUGACUUAACAUCAGCAUCUAGAAGCCUCUUCUAAUCUAAAUAGUCUACUUUGCAGUCUCAGCACCAGUUCGAGUAGAAGAUGAACCUCCGCCAUCCUGGGAUCCUGUACCCUCCCUGUACCCUCCCCAAUAUGUACUUGAUCUGUUUUCAUAUUGAAACAUCCUUUGUAUUCUAAACUUCUUUGGUUCAUUUACUACAGAUUUCCCGAGUUCGAAGCAUAGAAUUUUGAUGCAUUCAUGCAAGUAUGACAUAAAUCAUGGAGCUUACUUGAGGUUCAUCGACAAGUACAUGGCAGUGAACGUUGAUCAUGAACUACAUCAGUUGUUUUCCCUUUUGCUUUCAAUUUUUUCCAUUUGGAAGCUCCUGUUAACAUGAUCCUCUCCGAGCCGUGCAAUGCUCCAUUUAAUUUAUUACUGACAUAUAUGGUGUAUGGAAUUUUCUUGGCUGUGCCUGAUUUUUGUGUGUAAAGAUUUAACUGAAAAAUUUUCAUUUCGGAGUUUCAGAUUGUUGGUUAGAUACAAUGCAGAUCAGAUUCACCAA